Molecule: long non-coding RNA, 7994 nt
Filed under: Solanum tuberosum (potato)
Lineage: Eukaryota; Viridiplantae; Streptophyta; Magnoliopsida; Solanales; Solanaceae
Description: long non-coding RNA (STUB_LNC003232)
Source: RNAcentral
AAAAUUUGAUUAAUUGUGUUUUCCAACACCCAAAAUUUAUGAUAAUGAAUAACGGUGAGACUCAACCAUCCUAUUUUUCUAUGUUAUCACCAACCUCAUCAAAAUUCGAAAAUAAACUUUUAUGUACUGAAUCGUGUUUUUUUUUUUUUUUUUGUAAGGUACAAGAAGAUGGAAGAACUUGUUGUUUACUGUGAAAGGAGUAGCCAAAUGGGGGAGGCGGUAGAUAUUGGUGGUGCAAUUUUUAGGACCAUGUUGAAUUUACUUUCCAACACUCUAUUCUCAAAGGACUUGGCAGAUCCGUAUGAAAAUUCGGGUAAAGAAUUUAAGGAUUUGGUGGAGGGACUAAUGAUAGACAUGGGUAAACCAAACUGGGUGGAUUACUUUCCAGUGCUAAAAUUAGUAGAUCCACAAGGACUAAGGCGAUAUAAUUCUCACUUCGGUAAGCUACUAAAGUUUUUUAAUGGAUUGAUAAAUGAGAGGAUGGAGCUAAGGAAGUUGAAGGGACAAAAGAGUAGUGAUGUUUUAGACACCUUACUCACAGCCAGUGAAGAUAAUCCACAAGAUAUUGAUCGCAAGCAUAUAGCUACAAUACUUUUGGUGAGCUAUCUUUAAUUAAUACUCACUACUUUGAGAAUAUCACUUACCUUUAUAGUGUUGAUUGUUGUUUAUUCUUCCACAUAGUUUGUGGAUGGGUGUUUCGUGUCCUAAUAUAUUUUUGGACAAUAUUAUGAACAUGAGCUAUAGCAUUUGAUGAAUUGAGAUAGACCAGAUCAGGUUCAUUUUUUUAUCAUCAUAUCAAAGUCAGGUCCCAUGUUUGAAGCAUUUAUUGAACAUGCAUAUAGUAUUUUUCAAAUUAUGAAUUCAAAAUUAAAAAUCAUUUCACUAGAUUUUAGUUUGAUUUCCAGUAGUGGUCCUUGUUUUUAAAAAAGCAAAUUGAAGUCCAUUUCUAGUACUUGUUCAGUGUGCCCCGUCUCUUUGAAUUAUCAAAAUCUAAUACUAGUAUUUUUUUUUUCCAAUUAUAUAUCUAUGUUUCGUGUUAUAAAUAUUUAAUCCAGUUGAACAUACAUCAAAUAUAACAUGCCUAAGUGGUUUCGGUGAGUAAUUUUCAGCUCAAAGUUGUCGUUGUAUCUCAGGACCUAUUUAAUGCCGGAACUGAUACAAGUUCGAAUGUAGUGGAAUGGGCUAUGACUGAGCUUCUUAGAUCUCCAGAGAUUAUGAAGAAAGUCCAAGCCGAGCUGGUACAAGUCCUCGGAGAAGGUAACCCGAUGGAGGAAGCUGACAUUGCCCGACUCCCUUACUUGCAGUGCAUUAUUAAAGAAACUUACAGGAUGCACCCUCCAGCUCCUCUUUUGGUUCCUCGAAAAGUUGAGGAAGAUGUUGAGGUGUGUGGCUACACUGUCCCUAAAGGUUCAAAAGUGUUGAUAAAUGUGUGGGCAAUUGGCCGGGACUCGACUCUAUGGGAAGACCCUUUGGUGUUUAAUCCUGAUAGAUUUAAGGAUUCAAAAUUGGAUGUGCGAGGUCAAAAUUUUGAGUUAAUUCCAUUUGGUGCUGGUCGAAGAAUUUGUCCUGGUCUGCCAUUGGCAAUAAGGAUGAUCCCAGUAAUGCUUGGCACACUGUUAAAUACAUUUAAUUGGAAAAUUGAAGGUGACAUUGCACCAAAAGACAUGGACAUGCAGGAGAAAUUUGGCCUCACCUUGGCCAAACUUCGUCCUCUCCGAGCUGUCCCACUUCCCCUUUAAAAUCCAAAAUUAGUUGGAUUCCUAUCAAAGGCAAUGGACUAUGAACAUUGUAACUAAUAUUUCAAGUCCAAAAAAUUAAAAAAUAAAUAAUAAUUUAAUAUAAGUACAAAUUUAUGUAAUUUUGUAUUGAAAAAUAUUAAAGUUUCGUCAGUAAAUGCAAGGGAAUUUGAAGACUUUAAGUUCGUUCAUGCGCGCACAACGCAUUUGAGAUGUAAUUCAUCUCCUUUAAUAAUUACCUCAUGUUUAGUAAUUUAGUUUUACGUACGUCUCUUUAUGCCUUGAUCCAUUAAUUUGCCUCUGUAUAAUUAUAGUUAGGUCUUCAGAAUUAUAUGAAAAAAGUAAGCAUACACGAUGUCUCAUAUCCAUGUAUACGUAUAUUCUUUUUCUCUUAUAUUACUACUUGAGUAUAGGUUUUAAAUAUAUAUUUAAUGGCUAUAAUACUUUUACACCAUCAGGUUUAAUAGUAUGUAAUUAUAUAUAAUAUUUUUUUCAUUUGUCUGUUUGUUUGACGGUAAACAAAAUUUAAAAGUAAAGAAGAUUUGUGAUUUUUUUAAUUUUAAAUUAAAUAAUUUGUUAAAUAAACUAACACUAAAUUUUCGUGUACAUUAUGUGGAUCUACAUAUUGCUGUGACAUUUUUAAAUUACUUUUUUUUCCUUGCUGUGAAUAUAUGGGAACUUGAGGGGCAAACGCUGCGAGGCCGAACCCACAAGGAGCCGGGGCGGACCUAGAGGUUGUUGAGGGGUUCAUUCGAACCCAUUUGGUAAAAAAUUACAUUGUAUAUUUAAUAUAUUUUAAAGAUUUUUUAUGUCUCUAUAUUGAUAUUGAACCUCCUAAAUGUAAGAUUAGAGAUUGAAUUAGUGGUUGAGGGGUUCCAAACUCACCUUGAGGUUCCAAUAUCAAAUCUUAGGCAAUACUAUUUUUUUUUUUCAAACCCCCUUAAUGGAAUAAGAACUCUUAUUCAUUAUAUAAAAAUGUUAAUACUAAUAUAAAAAUAUGUUAUUAAAUUUAAAACAGAUUAAAAAAAAAGUAAGUCAUAUAAAUUGUAAUAGAGGGAGUACAUUAACUUUCAAUAGUUACGUAUUACUAUUACAUAUUUUGGGGAGAGAUAGAGUAAGGGGUCGUUUGGUAUGCUGGGAUAAGUUAUGAUGAGAAAAGUUAUAUUGAGAUAAGAUAAUGAAAUUAUUUUUUAUUGGUUGUUUGGUUUGUCAAAUAUGCAUGACAUAUUUUUAAGAAUAUUUGUUUGUUUACAAAAAUAACCUCUAAGAAUAAGUUGUUUGUUUAUAAAAGAGAGUUUAAGGGAUAUUUAUUUUAUAUUUUUAUUUGGGAUACGUUAUUUCGGAGUUAGUAUUCCAACCACAAGUAGAGAUAGUUUAUUUAGUCAUAAUUAUUAAUCCUGAUAUAAUUAGUUACCCCACAUUUUGUAACCAAACAAAAAACUGAGGGUACUAAAAUCUAAAAUUAUUUUUUCUUGACCAUCACAUCAAACGACAAAAAUGCGUCGACCGCUUGGUUUUAAUGGAUAACAACAAGAGAGUCCGUCAUCAUACUUUUUCCCAUGUGAACCAAUAAUGCAUUCUGCUGCAGCAGGGAAAAUGUGGUGAAACGUACUCCACAAAUGAAUCAAUUCUGAGAACAUGAGGGGUCAUGGUACGGUCAAUAUGGUGGAACAUCUGAAAAUUGAUAUUUUUGAAAUUGUUAUUUUGAUUUGGUGAUUUUUUUUUAUAUAUGACACGAUAUUCGAUGUUUAUAAUAUAUAAUGAAAUAUUGAAUACUAUAUCGAAAUAAAUAGUUACAUUAUAAGUCAUAUAUUAGCAAAUAUAAAAAAUAGUAUUAAUAGAAAAUUAAUUAUUUAGAUGUUUGAAUUUUGAUUGAGUUGUUUUUGUGUAAUUGAUUGAUGAAGGAAAUUAUUUGUAUUUUUUUUAAAAAAAAAUUCUACAGGUAUAAAAUAUUAUGCUAGUAUGAUAUAAUUCAAACGUUUUUUAAAAAUUUGAAUUUAUAAUUCUUUAUCAUUUAAGUAUAUAUGUCAAUCGAAGUAAAAUAAAUCAUCAGUAUCAAUUUCUCAUAAUUACAAAAUACUGAAACAAACUUUAAAACAUUGAAUCAUACCAAAUGAACUUGAUAAAAUAAUAAUAUAGUAGAUAGUACUUUUAAAAACCGACAAUCAAAAUUAUGGAACUGAAAUGGUAAAUAUCAUACAAUACCCAACCCUACUGUUACAGUAUUAAUUUUGACAUUCUACGGUAUAUACCACUAUAAAUACAUGUCUAGAACUCAUGAUCUUGAUCAUAUAGCCAGUGAUAAAUUAGUUAAACGCAUUUUUUUUUUAUAACGUUAAAGAGUAUGGAUUAUUAUUAUUAUUAUUAUUAUACCACUCCUCUAGCUCUCUUGCUUGCCUGGACUUUGGUCCAAGGCUUCAAUUUGUUAGUAGCAUUAACAACAAGUAGAAACAGAAAGCUUCCUCCAGGACCUUUUCCAUUACCCAUAAUCGGAAAUCUUCACUUACUGGGCAAUCAACCUCAUAAAUCCCUUGCCAAACUCGCCGAUUUUCAUGGCCCAAUUAUGCGUCUGAAUUUGGGGCAAAUAACAACUGUGGUGAUUUCUUCUUCAAACAUGGCCAAACAAGUGCUCCAAAAGCAAGAUUCAGCCUUUUCUAGCAGGUCAAUUCCUGAUAUAGUCAAAGAGGAAAAUUUUCACAUGUUCUCCGUUGGUUGGCUUCCUGCUUCCCAUCCUCAAUGGAGAACUCUCCGCAAAAUCAUGACUUCCCACAUCUUCUCCAUUAACAAGCUUGAUGCCAGUCAGCACCUUAGGUACGUAUUGUGUGACUACGUCUUCAUCUAAAAAUUUAAACAGUUAAAGAAAUCAAACUUUGUUUAAUUAAUUAUGUUUUCCUUAGAAGCUAGAUAUUUUUGAUAACAAUGAUAGUGAGAUUUGACUCAGAACUUCUAUUUGCUCUAAUAUCUCAAAAUUCUUUGGGCUCGUUUGGACAAUGUGAUAUGAAAUCAGGUUGAUAUAAAGGUGAGACACGCAAUUUAAAUUUUUGAAGAUGUAUUUUUUCUCAUAAAUAGGAAAAUUCUACAAGUUGUGAAAACCAUAGAAAAAUUUCAAUUCUAAUACAAUAUUACCAAAUAAGCAAAUUAUAGUUCAUAAAUUUCUAAUACAAUCUUACCAAAUAAGCAAAUAAUAGUUCAUAAAUAAGAUAUCGUGAUAUCCUAAGACGAUACAUUGACAAAUCAUGUAUCUUUAUGUUUCUUUUAUAAAUAACUUCCAAAUACAACUAAUUUUAUAAAGAUCCACUAGUCAAUGAAAAUACUACUCAGUAACUAGUUAUUGUUUAAUAUAAUCUUUAAGACAGUGUACAUACAAUUUCUUUAUGCUAAACAUGAGUCUUUUUUUUCUUUUCGCAACGAUGGAUCUUUUUUUACAAAAUUUGAAAGCAUGAUUCGACAUGUUAAAUCACAUAGAAAUUUUGAUUUUUCAAAUCACAUGUCCUAACUCCUGGCUCUGAUUUUAACUAAUGAUUUUAUAUCACAUAUAAAAAAAUAAUUAAGUUAAACUGCUAGAGAAAACACAUGAGUUUUACACUAAUUAUUUACUUAAUCAUGUUUUUUAUAAGGUACAAGAAGAUCCAAGAACUUGUUGCUUACUGUAAAAGGAGUAGCCAAAUGGGGGAGGCGGUACAUAUUGAUGAUGCAAUUUUCAGGACCAUGUUGAACUUACUUUCUAACACUCUCUUCUCAAAGGACUUGGCAGAUCCGUAUGAAAAUUCUGGUAAAGAAUUUAAGGAAUUGAUGGAGGGAAUGAUGAUGGACAUGGGUAAACCAAAAUUGGUAGACUACUUUCCCGUCCUGAAAAUAGUACAUCCGGAAGGUCUAAGGCGAUAUAAUUCUCGUUUGGGGAAACUACUAAAGCUAUUUUAUGGAUUCAUAAAUGAGAGGCUGGAGAUAAGGAAAUCCCCAAAUUAUCAAAACACUGAUGUUUUAGAUGCCUUAAUCACAACAAGUGAACAGAAUCCCCAAGAAAUUGAUCACAUGCAUAUAGCAACAAUGUGUUUGGUGAGCUAUCUUUAAUUCUCUUUCUAUUUUUAAUUGAUUGGCCUGGGGGGUUUGCAAUAAACCCUCGUGAGUCCUGACCCACAAAAGUAAAAGUUCAUGCUAACCAACUAAGUUACUAAAUGAAGAUCUGUUGUAGAAAGGAUAUAAAAUUAAAAACAAGUUUGUGGAGGGCUACACAACUAAAUUUUACCACCUAUGUUUCCUGUUGACAAAUACUGAAAUCAUUAAAUAUGCCUGCAUUGGUGAAUUAUCUGUAUGUGGCCGGUUUGCAUGAUUAAUUUCAUGAGUAAUUUUCACCUCAAAAUUGUGUGCGUAUCUCAGGACCUAUUUGAUGCCGGAACUGACUCAAGUUCCGGCGUAGUGGAAUGGGCUAUGACUGAGCUUCUUAAAGCUCCAGAGAUUAUGAAGAGAGUCCAAGCCGAGUUAAUACAAGUUCUCGGAGAAGGCAACGCGAUGGAGGAAGCUGAUGUUGCCCGACUCCCGUACUUGCAGUGCAUUAUCAAAGAAACUUACAGGAUGCACCCUCCAGCUCCUUUUUUGGUACCUCGAAAAGUAGAGCAAGAUGUUGAGGUGUGUGGCUACACUGUCCCUAAAGAUUCAAAAGUGUUGAUUAAUGUGUGGGCAAUUGGCCGAGACUCAACUUUUUGGGAAGACCCUUUGGUGUUUAAUCCUGAUAGAUUUAAGGAUUCAAAAUUGGAUGUGCGAGGUCAAGAUUUUGAGUUAAUUCCAUUUGGCGCUGGUAGAAGAAUUUGUCCUGGUAUGCCAUUGGCAAUAAGGAUGAUCCCAGUAAUGCUUGGCACACUGUUGAAUACAUUUAAAUGGAAAAUUGAGGGUGACAUUGAACCAAAAGACUUGGACAUGCAGGAGAAAUUUGGCCUCACCUUAACCAAACUUCGUCCUCUCAGAGCUGUCCCACUUCCACUAUGAAAUCCAAAAUCAGAUGGCUUCCUACAAAAGGCAAUGUUUUAUGGAUGAUGAAAACAUUGUAACUAACAUUUCAUUUCCAAUAAAUAAAUAAUUUAGUAUAUGUACAUUUUGUAGGGAAGGAAAUUAUAGUUACUUCCUAAGAAAGAGAUGGGGAAGAAAAUGAGGUGAAUCGUACUCCACAUAUUAAAUGUCAAACCAUUUAUUAGAUGGCCAAUAAUAAAUGUUACUCAUUUGAUAGGUCACCCUAAAUAUAUUAGUACAACAUGUUUAAAAAAAAAUAUUGAAAUAUCAAAUGAGGUAAAUAGUCAUAUAUAUGUAUCAUAUAAUAGUAAAUAUAUAAAAUAAUAUUAGUAAAAUUAAUUAUUUAGAUGUUUGAAUUAUGAUUCAUGAUAAGAAGGGAAUCGUUUGUAUUAUUUAUUUAUAUUGAAUAUUUUUAUACGUGUAAAAUGCUACUUUAGUGUAAUUUAAUUGAGAAGUUUUUUGAAAAAUCAAAAUUAUAUUUCUAUAUAACAUUGAACCAUAGAUAUGAAUUUAAUAUGAUAAUGAUAAUAUUUUUAAAUUUGAUAAUUGAAAUUAUCGAACUAAAAUGGUAGAUUUAGUAGCAUAUCAUCCCUAUUACUAGUAACGCCCGACUUCCCCUUAAAUUUAAUAGUCAGCGACUUAGCGUGUUACACAUUUCGCCGAUUGAGUGAUCAAAAACUGUUAUUCGUUAGAUAAGCUUGUUCUAUUGACACUCUUCCACAGUAUAUACCACCAUAAAUUUAUGUCUAAAACUCAUGUUCUUUUUUAUGUUAAUUAGUAGUAAUAACUAUGGAUUAUUAUUACUAUUUUACCACUCCUCUAGCUCUGUUGCUUGCAUGGACUUUGGUCCAAGGCUUCAAUUUGUUACUAGUAGCACUAACAAGAAAUAGAAGCAGAAAGCUUCGUCCAGGACCCUUUCCAUUACCCAUAAUCGGAAAUCUUCACUUACUGGGCAAUCAACCUCAUAAAUCCCUUGCGAAACUCACCGAUUUUCAUGGCCCAAUUAUGCGUCUGAAGUUGGGGCAAAUAACAACAGUGGUCAUUUCUUCUUCAGACAUGGCCAAACAAGUGCUCCAAAAGCAAGACUUAGCCUUCUCUAGCAGGUCAAUUCCUGAUAUAGUCCAAGAGGACAAUUUUCACAUAUUCUCCUUUGGUUGGCUUCCUGCCUCCCAUCCUCAAUGGAGAUCUCUCCGCAAAAUCCUGAAUUCCCACAUCUUCUCCGUUAACAAGCUUGAUGCCACCCAGCACCUUAGG